UGCAAGUAUCGGGUGAAUAAGCAUCGGCUAACUCCGUGCCAGCAGCCGCGGUAAUACGGAGGAUGCGAGCGUUAUCCGGAUUUAUUGGGUUUAAAGGGUGCGUAGGCGGUUUGUUAAGUCAGUGGUAAAAGCGUGUGGCUCAACCAUACCAAGCCAUUGAAACUGGCGAACUUGAGUACAAACGAGGUAGGCGGAAUAUCACGUGUAGCGGUGAAAUGCUUAGAUAUGUGAUAGAACCCCGAUUGCGAAGGCAGCUUACCAGCAUGUAACUGACGCUGAGGCACGAAAGCGUGGGUAUCAAACAGGAUUAGAUACCCUG
RNAcentral lists this ribosomal RNA (319 nucleotides) under uncultured bacterium. Its description in RNAcentral is "bacterial SSU rRNA". It matches the Rfam family "Bacterial small subunit ribosomal RNA", at positions 470 to 789 of the family's 1533-position model. The record is from RNAcentral.